GAUGAAGAACGUAGCGAAAUGUGAUACUUGGUGUGAAUUGCAGAAUCCCGUGAACCAUCGAGUUUUUGAACGCAAGUUGCGCCCGAAGCCGUUCGGCUGAGGGCACGCCUGCCUGGGUGUCACACAUCGUUGCCCCAAUGCCAAUCGCCUCACUUUGUAGGUAUUUGCUUGGGGUGAAUGUUGGCCUCCCGUGAGCUUUGUCUCACGGUUGGUUGAAAAUCGAGUGCAUGGUGUCGGGUGUACCAUGAUGGAUGGUGGUUGAGUGAUGAUGCUCGAGACCAAUCAUGGGUAACUCCACCAGAAUUGGGCUCGGUGACCCACAUGCGUCCCUUGGAUGCUCCCUAAGGAGACCUCAGGUCAGGCGGGGCUACCCGCUGAGUUUAAGCAUAUCAAUAAGCGGAGGA
RNAcentral lists this unclassified non-coding RNA (404 nucleotides) under soil metagenome. Its description in RNAcentral is "partial contains 5.8S ribosomal RNA, internal transcribed spacer 2, and large subunit ribosomal RNA". The stretch from base 1 to 122 matches the Rfam family "5.8S ribosomal RNA", at positions 35 to 154 of the family's 154-position model. The record is from RNAcentral.